ACGUUAGCGGCGGACGGGUGAGUAACACGUGGGUAACCUACCUAUAAGACUGGGAUAACUCCGGGAAACCGGGGCUAAUACCGGAUAAUACAUGAAACCGCAUGGUUUCAUGAUGAAAGACGGUUUUGCUGUCACUUAUAGAUGGACCCGCGGCGUAUUAGCUAGUUGGUAAGGUAACGGCUUACCAAGGCAACGAUACGUAGCCGACCUGAGAGGGUGAUCGGCCACACUGGAACUGAGACACGGUCCAGACUCCUACGGGAGGCAGCAGCC
Molecule: ribosomal RNA, 273 nt
Filed under: uncultured Staphylococcus sp.
Lineage: Bacteria; Bacillati; Bacillota; Bacilli; Caryophanales; Staphylococcaceae
Description: partial 16S ribosomal RNA
Rfam family: Bacterial small subunit ribosomal RNA
Source: RNAcentral